Molecule: ribosomal RNA, 451 nt
Filed under: uncultured bacterium
Lineage: Bacteria
Description: bacterial SSU rRNA
Rfam family: Bacterial small subunit ribosomal RNA
Source: RNAcentral
UGGCCAGACUCCUACGGGAGGCAGCAGUGGGGGAUAUUGGACAAUGGGGGAAACCCUGAUCCAGCGACGCCGCGUGAGUGAAGAAGUCUUUCGGUCUGUAAAGCUCUGUCAGCAGGGAAGAAAGAAAUGACGGUACCUGACCAAGAAGCCCCGGCUAACUACGUGCCAGCAGCCGCGGUAAUACGUAGGGGGCAAGCGUUAUCCGGAAUUACUGGGUGUAAAGGGAGCGCAGGCGGCACGGCAAGCCUGAUGUGAAAGCCCGCGGCCCAACCGCGGGACUGCAUUGGGAACUACCGGGCUGGAGUGCCGGAGAGGUAGGCGGAAUUCCUAGUGUAGCGGUGAAAUGCGUAGAUAUUAGGAGGAACACCAGUGGCGAAGGCGGCCUACUGGACGGUGACUGACGCUGAGGCUCGAAAGCGUGGGGAGCAAACAGGAUUAGAUACCCUAGUAC